CAUAGACAGUAAUAACAAAAUUAGUGUUGGAUGGCAUGUGAGUUUGGAUUUGUACGGUGACAAUCGAACCCAUUCAUAUGUAUCAUGGACGAGAGACAAUUUUCAUAAGACGGGAUGCUACAAUUUACGAUGUCCAGGUUUUGUUCAGACUAAUCCUGCAUCUUAUAUUGGUGGACCUUUUCUAAAUACAUCGUUGUACGGAGGACCAACUUAUCGUUUUGUUGUUUCUAUUAGUCAG
Molecule: small RNA, 238 nt
Filed under: Vigna angularis var. angularis
Lineage: Eukaryota; Viridiplantae; Streptophyta; Magnoliopsida; Fabales; Fabaceae
Description: Non-protein coding transcript
Source: RNAcentral